AUUGAACGCUGGCGGCAUGCCUAACACAUGCAAGUCGAGCGAGCGGCGGACGGGGGAGUACUGUAUGGGGACUGCCCGAUAGAGGGGGAUCACUACUGGAAACGGUAGCUAAUCCCGCAUACUAUCGGAUAACCCAUAUGGGAUUAGCUAGUAGGUGAGGUAAUGGCUCACCUAGGCGACGAUCCCUAGCUGGUCUGAGAGGAUGAUCAGCCACACUGGGACUGAGACACGGCCCAGACUCCUACGGAGGCAGCAGUGGGGAAUAUUGCACAAUGGGCGCAAGCCUGAUGCAGCCAUGCCGCGUGAAUGAAGAAGGCCCUAGGGUUGUAAAGUACUUUCAGUCGGGAGGCGUUACCGACAGAAAAAGCACCGGCUAACUCCGUGCCAGCCGCCGCGGUAAUUC
RNAcentral lists this ribosomal RNA (403 nucleotides) under uncultured bacterium. RNAcentral's name for it is "partial 16S ribosomal RNA". It matches the Rfam family "Bacterial small subunit ribosomal RNA", at positions 30 to 526 of the family's 1533-position model. The record is from RNAcentral.